AUGGUGAAAGAAACCACUUACUAUGAUGUUUUGGGAGUCAAACCCAAUGCCACUCAUGAAGAAUUGAAGAAGACAUAUAGAAAAUUGGUCUUGAAAUACCACCCUGAUAAGAAUCCAAAUGAAGGUGAGAAGGUUAAACAGAUUUCUCACGCUUAUGAAGUUCUCUCUGAGGAACAGGCAAUUAGAGAGGGUGGAGCAGGUGGUUUCCCCAUGGACAUCUUUGAUGUGUUUUUUGGAGGAGGAGGAAGGAUGCAGAGAGAAAGGAGAGGUAAAAAUGUAGUACGUCAGCUCUCGGUUACCUUAGAAGAUUUAUAUAAUGAUGCCACAAGAAAACUGGCUCUGCAAAAGAAUGUGAUUUGUAACAAAUGUGAAGGCCGAGGUGGCAAAAGGGGAGCAGUGGAGUGCUGUCCCAAUUGCCGAGGUACUGGAAUGCAAAUAAGAAUUCAUCAGAUAGGACCUGGAAUGGUUCAGCAAAUUCAGUCUGUGUGCAUGGAGUGCCAGAGCCAUGGAGAACGGAUCAGUCCUAAAGAUAGAUGUAAAAGCUGCAAUGGAAGGAAGAUAGUUCGAGAGAAGAAGAUUCUGGAAAUUCAUAUUGACAAAGGUAUGAAAGAUGGCCAGAAGAUAACAUUCCAUGGUGAAGGAGACCAAGAACCAGGAUUGGAGCCAGGAGAAAUUAUCAUUGUGUUAGAUCAGAAGGACCAUGCUGUUUUUACUCGACAAGGAGAAGACCUUUGCAUGUGUAUGGACAUACAGCUGGCUGAAGCAUUGUGUGGCUUUCAAAAGCCAAUAUCUACUCUUGACAACCAAACCAUAGUCAUCACCUCUCAUCCAGGUCAGAUUGUCAAGCAUGGAGAUAUCAAGUGUGUGCUAAAUGAAGGCAUGCCAGUUUUUCAUAGACCAUAUGAAAAGGGUCACCUAAUCAUUAAAUUUAAGGUAAACUUUCCUGAAAAUGGCUUUCUUUCUCCUGAUAAACUCUCAUUGCUG
Molecule: RNA transcript, 984 nt
Organism: Otolemur garnettii (small-eared galago)
Lineage: Eukaryota; Metazoa; Chordata; Mammalia; Primates; Galagidae
Gene name: dnaJ homolog subfamily A member 1 pseudogene
Exons: 1
Source: RefSeq, a predicted model, not a curated record